RNAcentral lists this long non-coding RNA (400 nucleotides) under Mustela putorius furo (domestic ferret). Its description in RNAcentral is "lncRNA (ENSMPUG00000030200.1)". Lineage: Eukaryota; Metazoa; Chordata; Mammalia; Carnivora; Mustelidae. The record is from RNAcentral.
UCUCUCUCUUCCUUAUCCAGCAUUCUUUUCUCUCUCCUCUUACCAGGACCUUGAUUCUGCUCUGAAGUCUUUAAUAGCUUUUUUUUUUCUUUGCUUACAGAAUGAUGCAUGGUUCCCAAACAGGCAUUCAGUAUGCUCUACAAUGUGGCACAAAUUUCCUCUCCUACCUGGUCAUCUACUCUUACUAUAGGAAAUCUUCACCAUUAAAUUGUUGUAUGCCCCAUUCUUUUUUUUUUUUNAAUUUUUUAUUUUUUAUAAACAUAUAUUUUUAUCCCCAGGGGUACAGGUCUGUGAAUCACCAGGUUUACACACUUCACAGCACUCACCAAAGCACAUACCCUCCCCAAUGUCCAUAAUCCCACCCCCUUUCUCCCAAAACCCCUCCCCCCAGCAACCCUCA